This 253-nucleotide long non-coding RNA is filed under the name Anas platyrhynchos (mallard). Its description in RNAcentral is "lncRNA (ENSAPLG00020008252.1)". The record is from RNAcentral. Lineage: Eukaryota; Metazoa; Chordata; Aves; Anseriformes; Anatidae.
CUUGAGGCCUCGCCCCGGCCGGGCCCCGCCGCUUCCUCGCGGGCUCCCAGGGCCCGGUCCCAGCCCGGGCUGGGCGAGGAGAGACCGAAGCCUGGAGGUCGAGACCCGGAGGCCGAGGCCCGGCCGGGAUUUGCGGCGAGGCGGCCCCGGGGAGGCCGGAGCAGGACCCGCCGCAGAAUCAGACAUUUCACUGAAGGCGCCGUUCACUUCCUCAGAGGGAGCGUGGCCGUCAUGCUGUGAGGAGCCUCCGUGA